Schizosaccharomyces pombe (fission yeast) is the source of this 1045-nucleotide non-coding RNA. NCBI's taxonomy places the organism in Eukaryota, Fungi, Ascomycota, Schizosaccharomycetes, Schizosaccharomycetales, Schizosaccharomycetaceae. The record is from the annotation of a GenBank genome assembly.
AUGUUGACCAAUGCGUUUGGCGCACCGCGUUAACUGGAGCUGAAGGGGGAGGGGAGGGGGGCAGCGAGUGUUGAAGGGCCGAUGGGGUAAACAAACGCGUCGUCGUUGUGAAAGAAAGAAAGAGAGUGAAAAGAAUGAAUAGGCCGGGGAGUGGUAGGAUGUGGUAAAGAGAGAAGAGGGAGAAGUGACGAUGGGUGUGUUGAAGAAGGAUAGAGCAGAGGAAGGCAAAGUGGGUAAAAAGGAAAUAGAGUAGAGAAAUGAAUAGAGAUAGAGGGGAUAAAACGGAGGAGGAUAGGACAGAGGAGAAUGGGAUAGGAUAGGAUAGUGUAGAGGAGGAUGGAGUAGCUUAGGAUAGAAUAGUGUAGUGUAAAGUAGAGUAGAGUAGAGUAGAGAAGAGAAAGAAAGGUAAGAGAGAGAGAGAGAGAGACAAGAGAAAAAACAAAAGAUAAAUGGACCGAUAAAGAUAAAUAUAGAAAGAAAGAUAAUAUAAAUGGAUAAAUAUGGAUGAAACAAAAAUAAAAAAAAAGGUUAAAACAAAAGAGAAUAGAAUAGAGAAAAGGUAAAAGUUAGAGGCAACAAGGGUAGGUAACAAGGAACGAGGUGACAAGAAAUGGAAAAGUGAGAGAGAGAAAAGAAGUAGCGAAAGAGAGUGAGUGAUAUUGUGAAGAAGUGAGUUGUGAGUGAAACGGGAUAUGAGUGUAGUAAGAAUGAAGAAAAGAAAGAUGAAAUGAGUUCAGAAGAAAUUAGAUGAAUUCAGAAGAAAUGAUUGUAAACGAGUUUAAGAAAAUGCCGACGCUGACUAUGAAUGAGUAUUAGAUACUUGCAACAAUUUUAUCAGUUUAUUCGGAAGAUGAAGAGGAUCGAGUGAAUACGGAAAUAUCUAUCUUUGGCAAUACGGGAAUGGAGCACCAAAUGGAACACGGGAGUGUAACGGGCAUGGCAUGGCAUAGCAUAGCAUAACAUUGCAUGGCACAUGGCAUGGCGAUGUACUGAUAAUAGCUAGAAAUGCUAGAGUAGCGACGAGAAGAGAGAAAAAAGAGCGACA